GACGAACGCUGGCGACGUGCCUAAUACAUGCAAGUAGAACGCUGAAGGAGGAGCUUGCUUCUCCGGAUGAGUUGCGAACGGGUGAGUAACGCGUAGGUAACCUGCCUGGUAGCGGGGGAUAACUAUUGGAAACGAUAGCUAAUACCGCAUAAGAGUAGAUGUUGCAUGACAUUUACUUAAAAGGUGCAAUUGCACCACUACCAGAUGGACCUGCGUUGUAUUAGCUAGUUGGUGGGGUAACGGCUCAUCAAGGCGACGAUACAUAGCCGACCUGAGAGGGUGAUCGGCCACACUGGGACUGAGACACGGCCCAGACUCCUACGGGAGGCAGCAGUAGGGAAUCUUCGGCAAUGGACGGAAGUCUGACCGAGCAACGCCGCGUGAGUGAAGAAGGUUUUCGGAUCGUAAAGCUCUGUUGUAAGAGAAGAACGAGUGUGAGAGUGGAAAGUUUCACACUGUGAC
RNAcentral lists this ribosomal RNA (462 nucleotides) under Streptococcus mitis. RNAcentral describes it as "bacterial SSU rRNA". It matches the Rfam family "Bacterial small subunit ribosomal RNA", at positions 28 to 473 of the family's 1533-position model. The record is from RNAcentral. Lineage: Bacteria; Bacillati; Bacillota; Bacilli; Lactobacillales; Streptococcaceae.